AGAGUUUGAUCAUGGCUCAGGAUGAACGCUAGCGGCAGGCUUAACACAUGCAAGUCGAGGGGUAACAGAGUAGCUUGCUACUGCUGACGACCGGCGCACGGGUGCGUAACGCGUAUACAAUCUACCUUAUACUGGGGUAUAGCCUUUAGAAAUGAAGAUUAACCCCCCAUAGUCUCUAAGAGUGGCAUCACAUUUAGAGUAAAGGUUACGGUAUAAGAUGAGUAUGCGUUCUAUUAGUUUGUUGGUGAGGUAACGGCUUACCAAGACUACGAUAGAUAGGGGCCCUGAGAGGGGGAUCCCCCACACUGGUACUGAGACACGGACCAGACUCCUACAGGAGGCAGCAGUGAGGAAUAUUGGACAAUGGAGGCAACUCUGAUCCAGCCAUGCCGCGUGUAGGAUGACUGCCCUAUGGGUUGUAAACUACUUUUAUACAGGAAGAAACACCUCUACGUGUAGAGGCUUGACGGUACUGUAAGAAUAAGGAUCGGCUAACUCCGUGCCAGCAGCCGCGGUAAUACGGAGGAUCCAAGCGUUAUCCGGAAUCAUUGGGUUUAAAGGGUCCGUAGGUGGAUAAUUAAGUCAGAGGUGAAAUCUUGCAGCUCAACUGUAAAAUUGCCUUUGAAACUGGUUAUCUUGAGUUAUUAUGAAGUAGUUAGAAUAUGUAGUGUAGCGGUGAAAUGCAUAGAUAUUACAUAGAAUACCAAUUGCGAAGGCAGAUUACUAAUAAUCAACUGACACUGAUGGACGAAAGCGUGGGUAGCGAACAGGAUUAGAUACCCUGGUAGUCCACGCCGUAAACGAUGGUUACUAGCUGUUUGGACUUCGGUCUGAGUGGCUAAGCGAAAGUGAUAAGUAACCCACCUGGGGAGUACGUUCGCAAGAAUGAAACUCAAAGGAAUUGACGGGGGCCCGCACAAGCGGUGGAGCAUGUGGUUUAAUUCGAUGAUACGCGAGGAACCUUACCAGGGCUUAAAUGUAAGUUGCAUUAGUUAGAGAUAGCUAUUUCUUCGGACCACUUACAAGGUGCUGCAUGGUUGUCGUCAGCUCGUGCCGUGAGGUGUCAGGUUAAGUCCUAUAACGAGCGCAACCCCUGUUGUUAGUUGCCAGCGAGUCAUGUCGGGAACUCUAACAAGACUGCCAGUGCAAACUGUGAGGAAGGUGGGGAUGACGUCAAAUCAUCACGGCCCUUACGUCCUGGGCUACACACGUGCUACAAUGGUAGGGACAGAGAGCAGCCACUGGGCGACCAGGAGCGAAUCUAUAAACCCUAUCACAGUUCGGAUCGGAGUCUGCAACUCGACUCCGUGAAGCUGGAAUCGCUAGUAAUCGGAUAUCAGCCAUGAUCCGGUGAAUACGUUCCCGGGCCUUGUACACACCGCCCGUCAAGCCAUGGAAGUUGGAAGUGCCUGAAGUCCGUCACCGCAAGGAGCGGCCUAGGGUAAAGUCGAUAACUAGGGCUAAGUCGUAACAAGGUA
RNAcentral lists this ribosomal RNA (1478 nucleotides) under uncultured bacterium. RNAcentral describes it as "bacterial SSU rRNA". It matches the Rfam family "Bacterial small subunit ribosomal RNA". The record is from RNAcentral.